CUAAGCGGGAAGCCUUCUCCAAGAUAAGGAUUCCCGAAACCCUUCGAGGUUUGAAAGACCCCCGGUAGAACACCGGGUUGAUAGGCCAGACGUGGAAGCAUGGUAACAUGUGAAGCUGACUGGUACUAACGGUCAAGAGCAACUACUCU
This 149-nucleotide non-coding RNA is filed under the name Scardovia inopinata F0304. Its description in RNAcentral is "Bacterial large subunit ribosomal RNA". It matches the Rfam family "Bacterial large subunit ribosomal RNA", at positions 2781 to 2925 of the family's 2925-position model. The record is from Rfam by way of RNAcentral. Lineage: Bacteria; Bacillati; Actinomycetota; Actinomycetes; Bifidobacteriales; Bifidobacteriaceae.